GAACUCGGUGAAAGGAAUUGGCGCCGUUCGACACCAGGCGGAUCCGCUCUGCAGCACGAACCCAUCUCCAGCCGCAGCCGCAGCCGCCGCCCGGGCCGAGGAGCAGCCGCAGCAGCCGCCACCAGUGGCCGAGUGAGCGGAGCCGAGUUUGAGGCAGCGCCUAGCGGUGAAUCGGGGCCCUCACCAUGAGUUCCUCGCCUGUUAAUGUAAAAAAGCUGAAGGUGUCGGAGCUGAAAGAGGAGCUCAAGAAGCGACGCCUUUCUGACAAGGGUCUCAAGGCCGAGCUCAUGGAGCGACUCCAGGCCGCGCUGGACGACGAGGAGGCCGGGGGCCGCCCCGCUAUGGAGCCCGGGAACGGCAGCCUAGACCUGGGCGGGGAUUCCGCUGGGCGCUCGGGAGCAGGCCUCGAGCAGGAGGCCGCGGCCGGCGGCGAUGAAGAGGAGGAGGAAGAGGAAGAGGAGGAGGAAGGAAUCUCCGCCCUGGACGGCGACCAGAUGGAGCUAGGAGAGGAGAACGGGGCCGCGGGGGCGGCCGACUCGGGCCCGAUGGAGGAGGAGGAGGCCGCCUCGGAAGACGAGAACGGCGACGAUCAGGGUUUCCAGGAAGGGGAAGAUGAGCUCGGGGACGAAGAGGAAGGCGCGGGCGACGAGAACGGGCACGGGGAGCAGCAGCCUCAACCGCCGGCGACGCAGCAGCAACAGCCCCAACAGCAGCGCGGGGCCGCCAAGGAGGCCGCGGGGAAGAGCAGCGGCCCCACCUCGCUGUUCGCGGUGACGGUGGCGCCGCCCGGGGCGAGGCAGGGCCAGCAGCAGGCGGGAGGGGACGGCAAAACAGAACAGAAAGGCGGAGAUAAAAAGAGGGGUGUUAAAAGACCACGAGAAGAUCAUGGCCGUGGAUAUUUUGAGUACAUUGAAGAGAACAAGUAUAGCAGAGCCAAAUCUCCUCAGCCACCUGUUGAAGAAGAAGAUGAACACUUCGAUGACACAGUGGUUUGUCUUGAUACUUGUAAGUGAAGCUGUUUCUCCCCAAUUAUGAAAUGCGGUGAUGGUGGUGGUGGUUUUUUUUUUUUUUUUUUUUUUUUGGUUCCCGAAUGUUAGAAAACAGUGCUUAAGCGCAGCAAAACUUGGGUUAGUUUUUUUAAAAGCAGGAAGAUAAUGGUUUACAUUCAGAACCUAGUAGUUUAAUAUUUAGCACGGCAUCAGUUGUAUUAAAUGGAUUAUUUUACAAGCUCUAGGAGUUUCAUAUUUUUAUGACUUGAAAGUUCUCAUUCUUAAGAAAUGUAAAAUUAAUGCCAGUUUUUGACUAGCUAACGGAAAUUUGUAACACUACCUAUAAUUUAGCCUUACAGGCUUCUACAAUAAAGUAAUUCAUUUUUUUGUGGAAUUAUAUUAAGUGAGCUAUUUGGGCUAGUUAAAUAUUUACUAAUGACUUCUCCCAUUAGCACACAAGUAUAUUAUUCCCUAUUCUAAAAGAUUGUAAUAUUACUUUUUCAAUAACUGCUCUUUUGUUCUCAAUUCCAGUUCAGUAGCUGCUGCUUUAAACAUAAGUUGAUUUCUUCCAAAGACCUGAGGCAGCAGCAGUGGGCUAUCACUGGGCCACUAGCUUUCUUCAGCAGCGAAUGGUAUCAAUGGCAGUGCAGCACUGUACAUACUGCUACUUUACCCAGUUGGGUUGCAAUUGAGUGAGAAAGUAUUGCAAACCUCUAAGUGGGCUUUGACUGUCAGACUUGUAUUUUUUUUUUGUUUGUUACAAAAAAACGUAGUUGGUUUAGUGAUGAGAAUGCACAACUCUGGGUGUGAUAAAUAGACCAAAGGAUAAAAAUAACUGUUUCAAAAGUAUCAGCUGUGGUGUCAGCCUGCUGUGUUAGAUGGAAGGCAUUGGAGCUUAGCUUCUCAUGUUUUCUUGUACAAAUUGGCUUUAUUCAGAUUUGUAAGAGUGUCAAUGUAAAACUCUUUCUGACUGGAAUAUCCUUUACAGAAGGUUCAGAUAGUCAUCUGAGCCUUUUUAAAAGAAAAAACUGCAGGUGAAAAAGGAGUUAGUUGAUUUGAAAGUUUUAGUGAAAUUCUGGGUUGUAUAAAUAAGUUGCUAGGAAUUGGCAAGGUAGUGAAGUGGUGACUCACGCAGGUAAUGUAAUUGUUAGAUUUUUUAGCAAAUCAGUUAGAAAUAUGUCAAUAUAAGUACAAUGCUGAAUUCAAACAAUCUGUUGAAUUAAAUUUUGUUUAUUAGAGUAAUUCUAAUUUAAGAAAAAUUCCAAACUGUAGAUUUAUUUUUCUUUGAUCAGUGAAAAGAAAAUGAAUUCCAGUUUGACUUUAGCUGUUCAAGUGAGAAGUCUGAGAAAGUGCAUGUUAAUGAGCCAGUGACCCAUAGGUAGCUGGGUUAAAGACACUUUGGAUUUGGAUAAUCCGGGAAGCAAUUAAUCCCUAAUUGUUGAACAGGCAGUCCUGGGUAAAGAGGACCUAAAAUGCUGCACUAUUAACAGCAUUAGACGGCCAGGUUUGUACUUCAUAGAUGUAGGCUGUCGUCUUCACAAGUUUUAGAAAAAGAAUUUAGGAGCUAGAGCCCUGGUGCAGGAUCAACAGCAGUUCGUACUCCUAUUUUAAAAUAAUUUGGUCGUGGCCUGCCUUCAGUUUUAAUGUGGCACUGGUAAAUCUACCUGGUUCUGGCAUGCUUCACUUUGAUUUCCUGCUAUCCUCUACUGCUUGCCUCUAAAUCAAGGUAAAGAGCAGAGCAGGUAUGUAUUAAUGUCACAUUGUCUUGAUUAUUUUAAAUACUUAAAAUAUACAUGUAAAACCUUGGUAUUAGUUUCACAGGCAGUUUAGUUUUCAGUACACAAUUUAACAGGAGUGACUUGGUGGGAGUGGGGCUUUAAACUGAAAAUUGGAACAACAGCAUGAUGUGGAGAAAAGUUGUGCAGCAUUAAGAAGUACAUGCAAAAAUUAAGUAACCAAGUUUUGUCUACAUAGCAGAUAUGUUUACAUUGGAUGUCAGAAGUAACACAGUAUUUGAUAUAAUUACAGAUAAUUGUGAUCUACAUUUUAAAAUAUCAAGAGAUCGUCUCAGUGCUUCUUCCCUUACAAUGGAGAGUUUUGCUUUUCUUUGGGCUGGAGGAAGAGCAUCCUAUGGUGUGUCAAAAGGCAAAGUGUGUUUUGAGAUGAAGGUUACAGAGAAGAUCCCAGUAAGGCAUUUAUAUACAAAAGAUAUUGACAUACAUGAAGUUCGUAUUGGCUGGUCACUAACUACAAGUGGAAUGUUACUUGGUGAAGAAGAAUUUUCUUACGGGUAUUCUCUAAAAGGAAUAAAAACAUGCAACUGUGAGACUGAAGAUUAUGGAGAAAAGUUUGAUGAAAAUGAUGUGAUUACAUGUUUUGCUAACUUUGAAAGUGAUGAAGUAGAACUCUCCUAUGCUAAGAAUGGUCAAGAUCUUGGCAUUGCCUUCAAAAUCAGUAAGGAAGUUCUUGCUGGACGGCCACUCUUCCCGCAUGUUCUCUGCCACAACUGUGCAGUUGAAUUUAAUUUUGGUCAGAAGGAAAAGCCAUAUUUUCCAAUACCUGAAGAGUAUACUUUUAUCCAGAAUGUCCCCUUAGAGGAUCGAGUUAGAGGACCAAAGGGGCCUGAAGAGAAGAAAGAUUGUGAAGUUGUGAUGAUGAUUGGCUUGCCAGGAGCUGGAAAAACUACCUGGGUUACUAAGCAUGCAGCAGAAAAUCCAGGGAAAUAUAACAUUCUUGGCACAAAUACUAUUAUGGAUAAGAUGAUGGUGGCAGGUUUUAAGAAGCAAAUGGCAGAUACUGGAAAACUGAACACACUGUUGCAGAGAGCCCCCCAGUGUCUUGGGAAAUUUAUUGAGAUUGCUGCCCGAAAGAAGCGAAAUUUUAUUCUGGAUCAGACAAAUGUGUCUGCUGCUGCCCAGAGGAGAAAAAUGUGCCUGUUUGCAGGCUUCCAGCGAAAAGCUGUUGUAGUUUGCCCAAAAGAUGAAGACUAUAAGCAAAGAACACAGAAGAAAGCAGAAGUAGAGGGGAAAGACCUACCAGAACAUGCAGUCCUCAAAAUGAAAGGAAACUUUACCCUCCCAGAGGUAGCUGAGUGCUUUGAUGAAAUAACCUAUGUUGAACUUCAGAAGGAAGAAGCCCAAAAACUCUUGGAGCAAUAUAAGGAAGAAAGCAAAAAGGCUCUUCCACCAGAAAAGAAACAGAACACUGGCUCAAAGAAAAGCAAUAAAAAUAAGAGUGGCAAGAACCAGUUUAACAGAGGUGGUGGCCAUAGAGGACGUGGAGGAUUCAAUAUGCGUGGUGGAAAUUUCAGAGGAGGAGCCCCUGGGAAUCGUGGCGGAUAUAAUAGGAGGGGCAACAUGCCACAGAGAGGUGGUGGUGGCGGAGGAAGUGGUGGAAUCGGUUAUCCAUACCCUCGUGCCCCUGUUUUUCCUGGCCGUGGUAGUUACUCAAACAGAGGGAACUACAACAGAGGUGGAAUGCCCAACAGAGGGAACUACAACCAGAACUUCAGAGGACGAGGAAACAAUCGUGGCUACAAAAAUCAAUCUCAGGGCUACAACCAGUGGCAGCAGGGUCAAUUCUGGGGUCAGAAGCCAUGGAGUCAGCAUUAUCACCAAGGAUAUUAUUGAAUACCCAAAUAAAACGAACUGAUACAUAUUUCUCCAAAACCUUCACAAGAAGUCGACUGUUUUCUUUAGUAGGCUAACUUUUUAAACAUUCCACAAGAGGAAGUGCCUGCGGGUUCCUUUUUUAGAAGCUUUGUGGGUUGAUUUUUUUUCUUUUCUUUUUUGUACAUUUUUAAUUGCAGUUUAAAAGUGAAUCGUAAGAGAACCUCAGCAUUGUGCACGAUAAGAGAAUGUGUCAGUAUUUCAGGGUUCUAC
RNAcentral lists this small RNA (4870 nucleotides) under Pongo abelii (Sumatran orangutan). RNAcentral's name for it is "retained intron". The record is from RNAcentral. Lineage: Eukaryota; Metazoa; Chordata; Mammalia; Primates; Hominidae.